RNAcentral lists this ribosomal RNA (717 nucleotides) under uncultured bacterium. RNAcentral's name for it is "bacterial SSU rRNA". It matches the Rfam family "Bacterial small subunit ribosomal RNA", at positions 1 to 768 of the family's 1533-position model. The record is from RNAcentral.
GUCGAACGGAGUUAUCAUUUCAGAAGCAAUUAGCUUGCUAAGAGCCGAAGAGAGGAUAACUUAGUGGCGGACGGGUGAGUAACGCGUGGGGAACCUGCCCUGCACCGGGGGAUAACACCUGGAAACAGGUGCUAAUACCGCAUAAGCGCACGAGGCCGCAUGGCCAGGUGUGAAAAACUAAGGUGGUGCAGGAUGGACCCGCGUCUGAUUAGCUUGUUGGUAGGGUAACGGCCUACCAAGGCGACGAUCAGUAGCCGGCCUGAGAGGGUGAACGGCCACAUUGGGACUGAGACACGGCCCAAACUCCUACGGGAGGCAGCAGUGGGGAAUAUUGGACAAUGGGGGAAACCCUGAUCCAGCGACGCCGCGUGAGUGGAGAAGUUUUCGGUAUGUAAAGCUCUAUCAGCAGGGAAGAAAAUGACGGUACCUGACUAAGAAGCCCCGGCUAACUACGUGUCAGCAGCCGCGGUAAUACGUAGGGGGCAAGCGUUAUCCGGAUUUACUGGGUGUAAAGGGAGCGUAGACGGCAUAGCAAGUCUGAUGUGAAAGAUCGGGGCUCAACCCCGGGCCUGCAUUGGAAACUGUUAAGCUGGAGUACAGGAGAGGUAAGCGGAAUUCCUAGUGUAGCGGUGAAAUACGUAGAUAUUAGGAGGAACACCAGUGGCGAAGGCGGCUUACUGGACUGUAACUGACGUUGAGGCUCGAAAGCGUGGGGAG